This is a non-coding RNA of Lactarius deliciosus, 81 nucleotides long. NCBI's taxonomy places the organism in Eukaryota, Fungi, Basidiomycota, Agaricomycetes, Russulales, Russulaceae. The record is from the annotation of a GenBank genome assembly.
GGCCGCCUGGCGAAAUGGCAUCGCGUCUGACUACGAUUCGUCGAAAUCAGGAGAUUGCAGGUUCGACCCCUGCGGUGGUCA